UACGUAGGUGGCAAGCGUUGUCCGGAAUUAUUGGGCGUAAAGCGCGCGCAGGCGGAUCCAUAAGUUUAUCGUUUAAGGCGUCGGCUUAACCGGCGUAGGGCGGUAGAUACUGUGGAUCUGGAAUGCGGUUGGGGAAGACAGAAUUCCUGGUGUAGCGGUGGAAUGCGCAGAGAUCAGGAGGAAUACCGAAGGCGAAGGCAGUCUUCCAAGCCGUUAUUGACGCUCAACUGCGAAGGUGUGGGUAUCAAACAGG
RNAcentral lists this ribosomal RNA (253 nucleotides) under uncultured prokaryote. Its description in RNAcentral is "partial 16S ribosomal RNA". It matches the Rfam family "Bacterial small subunit ribosomal RNA", at positions 524 to 776 of the family's 1533-position model. The record is from RNAcentral.